Molecule: ribosomal RNA, 258 nt
Filed under: uncultured bacterium
Lineage: Bacteria
Description: partial 16S ribosomal RNA
Rfam family: Bacterial small subunit ribosomal RNA
Source: RNAcentral
CUUGCUUUCUUUGCUGGCGACCGGCGCACGGGUGAGUAACACGUAUCCAACCUGCCCUUUACUCGGGGAUAGCCUUUCGAAAGAAAGGUUAAUACCCGAUAGUAUAAUGAUUCCGCAUGGUUUCAUUAUUAAAGGAUUCCGGUAAAGGAUGGGGAUGCGUUCCAUUAGGUUGUUGGUGAGGUAACGGCUCACCAAGCCUUCGAUGGAUAGGGGUUCUGAGAGGAAGGUCCCCCACAUUGGAACUGAGACACGGUCCAA